GCUGGGCAUGGUGGCGCACGCCUGUAAUCCCAGCUACUCAGGAAGCUGAGGCAGGAGAAUUGCUUGAACCCAGGAGGUAGAGGUUGCAGUGAGCCGAGAUGGCGACACUGCACUCCAGCCUGGGUAACAGAGCGAGACUCUGUCUCAA
This 148-nucleotide signal recognition particle RNA is filed under the name Homo sapiens (human). RNAcentral's name for it is "Metazoan signal recognition particle RNA". It matches the Rfam family "Metazoan signal recognition particle RNA". Rfam says of the family: The signal recognition particle (SRP) is a universally conserved ribonucleoprotein. It is involved in the co-translational targeting of proteins to membranes. The eukaryotic SRP consists of a 300-nucleotide 7S RNA and six proteins: SRPs 72, 68, 54, 19, 14, and 9. Lineage: Eukaryota; Metazoa; Chordata; Mammalia; Primates; Hominidae. The record is from Rfam by way of RNAcentral.